GGGGACGUUACGGAUUCGACAGGGAUGGUCUGAGCUUGAGUUGCGCGUCGGAGGUCUCGGCUUCGUCAUCAACGGAAGUUAUAUAAUAACUGGCAAACAACAAAACAACUUAGCUUUCGCAGCGUAAGCUGAUGAAACUGCCUGUCUAUUCUAUCGCCCAUGUAGCAUAGCUCAGGCUCACUUAUAGUGGGAUACGGUUACUAGUGCCACUUGAGCUAGUAACAAGAGCUUCCCAAGUUAGCGCUCACGAUGCCUGCUUGCUGGCUAAUGAUGCGUGAAUCCUAAAUAGGCAAGAUACACGCGUAGAAGCUUGAGUAUUGGAGUUUCUGGACGCGGGUUCGACUCCCGCCGUCUCCAUAU
Molecule: non-coding RNA, 360 nt
Organism: Viridibacillus arenosi FSL R5-213
Lineage: Bacteria; Bacillati; Bacillota; Bacilli; Caryophanales; Caryophanaceae
Rfam family: transfer-messenger RNA
About the family: Bacterial tmRNA, also known as 10Sa RNA or SsrA, is named for its dual tRNA and mRNA-like properties.
Source: Rfam